GCAAGUCGAACGAACCUUCGGGUGAGUGGCGCACGGGUGCGUAACGCGUGGGAAUGUACCCUUGGGUGCGGAAUAACUUCUGGAAACGGACGCUAAUACCGCAUAACAUCUUCGGAUCAAAGAUUUAUCGCCCAGGGAUCAGCCCGCGUCUGAUUAGUUUGUUGGUGGGGUAACGGCCUACCAAGACUACGAUCAGUAGCUGGUCUGAGAGGAUGAUC
This 218-nucleotide ribosomal RNA is filed under the name uncultured bacterium. RNAcentral's name for it is "partial 16S ribosomal RNA". It matches the Rfam family "Bacterial small subunit ribosomal RNA", at positions 57 to 305 of the family's 1533-position model. The record is from RNAcentral.